RNAcentral lists this ribosomal RNA (886 nucleotides) under uncultured archaeon. RNAcentral describes it as "bacterial SSU rRNA". It matches the Rfam family "Archaeal small subunit ribosomal RNA", at positions 21 to 903 of the family's 1478-position model. The record is from RNAcentral.
AGCCACUGCUAUGGGGGUCCGACUAAGCCAUGCGAGUCAUGGGGCGCGCUCUGCGCGCACCGGCGGACGGCUCAGUAACACGUCGGUAACCUACCCUCGGGAGGGGGAUAACCCCGGGAAACUGGGGCUAAUCCCCCAUAGGCCUGAGGUACUGGAAGGUCCUCAGGCCGAAAGGGGCCUUCGCCCGCCCGAGGAUGGGCCGGCGGCCGAUUAGGUAGUUGGUGGGGUAACGGCCCACCAAGCCGAAGAUCGGUACGGGCCAUGAGAGUGGGAGCCCGGAGAUGGACACUGAGACACGGGUCCAGGCCCUACGGGGCGCAGCAGGCGCGAAACCUCCGCAUGCGGGAAACCGCGACGGGGGGACCCCCAGUGCCGUGGCAUCGCCACGGCUUUUCCGGAGUGUAAAGAGCUCCGGGAAUAAGGGCUGGGCAAGGCCGGUGGCAGCCGCCGCGGUAAUACCGGCGGCCCGAGUGGUGGCCGCUAUUAUUGGGCCUAAAGCGUCCGUAGCCGGGCCCUUAAGUCCCUGGCGAAAUCCCACGGCUCAACCGUGGGGCUUGCGGGGGAUACUGCGGGCCUUGGGACCGGGAGAGGCCGGGGGUACUCCUGGGGUAGGGGUGAAAUCCUAUAAUCCCAGGAGGACCGCCAGUGGCGAAGGCGCCCGGCUGGAACGGGUCCGACGGUGAGGGACGAAGGCCAGGGGAGCGAACCGGAUUAGAUACCCGGGUAGUCCUGGCUGUAAAGGAUGCGGGCUAGGUGUCGGGCGAGCUUCGAGCUCGCCCGGUGCCGAAGGGAAGCCGUUAAGCCCGCCGCCUGGGGAGUACGGCCGCAAGGCUGAAACUUAAAGGAACUGGCGGGGGAGCACUACAAGGGGUGGAGCGUGCGGUUU